RNAcentral lists this ribosomal RNA (468 nucleotides) under uncultured bacterium. RNAcentral describes it as "partial 16S ribosomal RNA". It matches the Rfam family "Bacterial small subunit ribosomal RNA", at positions 28 to 507 of the family's 1533-position model. The record is from RNAcentral.
GACGAACGCUGGCGGCGUGCUUAACACAUGCAAGUCGAACGGACAGGCCCUGCUUUUGUGGGGUGCUCGAGUGGCGAACGGGUGAGUAACACGUGAGUAACCUGCCCUUGACUUUGGGAUAACUUCAGGAAACUGGGGCUAAUACCGGAUAGGAGCUACUGCUGCAUGGUGGGGGUUGGAAAGUUUCGGCGGUUGUGGCUGGUAUCGAGGCUUAUCCGCUUGUUAGUGGGGUAGUGGCUUACCAAGGCUUCGACGGGUAGCCGGCCUGAGAGGGUGACCGGCCACAUGGGUACUGAGAUACGGCCCAGACUCCUACGGGAGGCAGCAGUGGGGAAUAUUGCAGAACGGGCGGAAGCCUGAUGCAGCAACCCCGCGUGCGGGAUGACGGCCUUCGGGUUGUAAACCGCUUUCGCCUGUGACGAAGCGUGAUUGACGGUAAUGGGUAAAGAAGCACCGGCUAACUACGUG